CAGCCUGCAUAAAAAGCCGCCUGUCACUCCUCCUCACCAGCAGUCUCCUGCAACUGGCCUUGGAGCUGAGAUAAUCAUGUCACGCAAACUGUUCCUAGUCCUCGCGCUCUUCCUCCUGGUAGGAGAGCUUAUGGGGGAGAUGCAGGAUGAUGAUGGCCUCAUGCUCUCCCAGCUCAACAACAUGGAGCAACC
Engraulis encrasicolus (European anchovy) is the source of this 192-nucleotide long non-coding RNA. RefSeq lists it as uncharacterized. The transcript has 3 exons. NCBI's taxonomy places the organism in Eukaryota, Metazoa, Chordata, Actinopteri, Clupeiformes, Engraulidae. The record is from RefSeq and is a predicted model, not a curated record.